RNAcentral lists this ribosomal RNA (967 nucleotides) under uncultured marine bacterium. RNAcentral describes it as "bacterial SSU rRNA". It matches the Rfam family "Bacterial small subunit ribosomal RNA", at positions 51 to 1024 of the family's 1533-position model. The record is from RNAcentral.
AUGCAUGCAAGUUGAGCGAAGCUUUUUGGUAGUUUACUACUAGAAAUGACUGAGCGGCGAACGGGUGAGUAACGCGUGAGCAAUCUACCUUAGUUACUGGGAUAGCCCGAGGAAACUCGGAUUAAUACCGGAUAUUCUUAUUUUUUCACAUGAAGUUUUAAGGAAAGGUCAGCCGAACUAAGAUGAGCUCGCGUUCUAUCAGCUAGUUGGUGGGGUAAAAGCCUACCAAGGCUACGACGGAUAGCUGGUCUGAGAGGACGAUCAGCCACACUGGGACUGAGACACGGCCCAGACUCCUACGGGAGGCUGCAGCAGGGAAUAUUGUGCAAUGAGCGAAAGCUUGACACAGCGACACCGCGUGUGGGAUGACGGUUCUAGGAUUGUAAACCACUUUCAGGAGGGAAGAAAAUGACGGUACCUCCACAAGAAGACCCGGCCAACUAUGUGCCAGCAGCCGCGGUAAUACAUAGGGGUCAAGCGUUGUCCGGAUUUAUUGGGCGUAAAGAGCUCGUAGGCGGUUCAACAAGUCGGUCGUAAAAGUUUAGGGCUCAACCCUAAAAUGUCGAUCGAUACUGUUGUGACUAGGAUACGGUAGAGGUGAAUGGAAUUCCGAGUGUAGCGGUGAAAUGCGUAGAUAUUCGGAGGAACACCAAUUGCGAAGGCAGUUCACUGGACCGUGAUCGACGCUGAGGAGCGAAAGCUAGGGGAGCAAACAGGAUUAGAUACCCUGGUAGUCCUAGCUGUAAACGAUGGAUACUAGAUGUAGGAACUGGAUUGACGGUUUCUGUAUCGUAGCUAACGCGUUAAGUAUCCCGCCUGGGGAGUACGGUCGCAAGACUAAAACUCAAAGGAAUUGACGGGACCCCGCACAAGCGGCGGAGCAUGCGGCUUAAUUCGAUGAUACCCGUAGAACCUUACCUGGACUUGACAUAUAGGGAAAACUGGAGAAAUCCAGUGUGCGUAAGCG